CGGAGGGUGCAAGCGUUAUCCGGAUUUACUGGGUUUAAAGGGUGCGUAGGUGGGUAGGUAAGUCAGAGGUGAAAUCUUCGAGCUUAACUCGGAAACUGCCAUUGAUACUAUUUAUCUUGAAUACUCUGGAGGUAAGCGGAAUAUGUCAUGUAGCGGUGAAAUGCUUAGAUAUGACAUAGAACACCAAUUGCGAAGGCAGCUUACUACAUAGUUAUUGACACUGAGGCACGAAAGCGUGGGGAUCAAACAGGAUUAGAUACCCUGGUAGUCCACGCCCUAAACGAUGGAUACUCGACAUCAGCGAUACACUGUUGGUGUCUGAGCGAAAGCAUUAAGUAUCCCACCUGGGAAGUACGAUCGCAAGAUUG
Molecule: ribosomal RNA, 368 nt
Filed under: uncultured organism
Description: bacterial SSU rRNA
Rfam family: Bacterial small subunit ribosomal RNA
Source: RNAcentral